GACGAACGCUGGCGGCGUGCUUAACACAUGCAAGUCGAACGGUGAAGCGCCUUCCUUUUUGGUGGGUGUGGAUGAGUGGCGAACGGGUGAGUAACACGUGAGUAACCUGCCCCCUUCUUCUGGAUAACCGCAUGAAAGUGUGGCUAAUACGGGAUAUUCUGGGUCUGUCGCAUGAUGGGUCUGGGAAAGAUAUUGUUUCGGUGGGGGAUGGGCUCGCGGCCUAUCAGCUUGUUGGUGGGGUGAUGGCCUACCAAGGCGGUGACGGGUAGCCGGCCUGAGAGGGUGGACGGUCACACUGGGACUGAGACACGGCCCAGACUCCUACGGGAGGCAGCAGUGGGGAAUAUUGCACAAUGGGCGCAAGCCUGAUGCAGCGACGCCGCGUGAGGGAUGGAAGCCUUCGGGUUGUGAACCUCUUUCGACAGUGAAGCAGGCCUGCCUCGUUUGUGGGUGGGUUGACGGUAGCUGGAUAAGAAGCGCCGGCUAACUACGUG
This 494-nucleotide ribosomal RNA is filed under the name uncultured bacterium. RNAcentral's name for it is "partial 16S ribosomal RNA". It matches the Rfam family "Bacterial small subunit ribosomal RNA", at positions 28 to 507 of the family's 1533-position model. The record is from RNAcentral.